UGGGGAAUUUUGGACAAUGGGGGAAACCCUGAUCCAGCCAUCCCGCGUGUGCGAUGAAGGCCUUCGGGUGUAAAGCACUUUUGGCAGGAAAGAAACGUCGCGGGUUAAUACCCCGCGAAACUGACGGUACCUGCAGAAUAAGCACCGGCUAACUACGUGCCAGCAGCCGCGGUAAUACGUAGGGUGCAAGCGUUAAUCGGAAUUACUGGGCGUAAAGCGUGCGCAGGCGGUUCGGAAAGAAAGAUGUGAAAUCCCAGAGCUUAACUUUGGAACUGCAUUUUUAACUACCGGGCUAGAGUGUGUCAGAGGGAGGUGGAAUUCCGCGUGUAGCAGUGAAAUGCGUAGAUAUGCGGAGGAACACCGAUGGCGAAGGCAGCCUCCUGGGAUAACACUGACGCUCAUGCACGAAAGCGUGGGGAGCAAACAGGAUUAGAUACCCUGGUAGUCCACGCCCUAAACGAUGUCAAUUUAGCUGUUGGGGCCUUCGGGCCUUGGUAGCGCAGCUAACGCGUGAAGUUGACCGCCUGGGGAGUACGGUCGCAAGAUUAAAACUUAAAGG
Molecule: ribosomal RNA, 559 nt
Filed under: uncultured bacterium
Lineage: Bacteria
Description: partial 16S ribosomal RNA
Rfam family: Bacterial small subunit ribosomal RNA
Source: RNAcentral